ACAAGAGCUUGUUUGAAUAGUGUCACUUGAUGAUAUUUAGAUCAGUUAUUUUUGUUUAUUUUAUUUUGAUCUUUUCUUUAACUUUGUUUAUUGUUAAUUUUCAUUUGUUUCAAGCAGUUUGCUUCAUUAUUUGUUGAUAAUAGUCAUUGCAAAUGUUUUUUCUUUCCUGUUGAUUUUUAAUAGCUGCUGUCUUUUAUAAUAUUUAUUUCCUUUGUUUUGAAGUUGAGUUGUGCUAACCCAUUGACAUUCUUUUGAUUUUAUUUUUGGAUUGAAUAGUUUGAAUAGUUGUUUGAUUCUGGGCUG
RNAcentral lists this small RNA (303 nucleotides) under Histoplasma ohiense. RNAcentral's name for it is "hypothetical lncRNA". Lineage: Eukaryota; Fungi; Ascomycota; Eurotiomycetes; Onygenales; Ajellomycetaceae. The record is from RNAcentral.